Molecule: ribosomal RNA, 478 nt
Filed under: uncultured Phycisphaeraceae bacterium
Lineage: Bacteria; Pseudomonadati; Planctomycetota; Phycisphaerae; Phycisphaerales; Phycisphaeraceae
Description: bacterial SSU rRNA
Rfam family: Bacterial small subunit ribosomal RNA
Source: RNAcentral
UUGACGGGGGCUCACACAAGCGGUGGAGCAUGUUGCUUAAUUCGAGGCAACGCGAAGAACCUUACCUGGGCUUGACAUGUACGGAUUAACUCUUGGAAACUUGAGCCACGCCUUCGGGUGGAACGUACACAGGUGUUGCAUGGCUGUCGUCAGCUCGUGCUGUGAAGUGUCGGGUUAAGUCCCUUAACGAGCGCAACCCCUAUCGUUAGUUGCCAGCGCGUCAUGGCGGGGACUCUAGCGAGACUGCCGGUGUCAAACCGGAGGAAGGUGGGGAUGACGUCAAGUCCUCAUGGCCCUUAUGUCCAGGGAUGCAAACGUGCUACAAUGGCGUGUACAGAGCGAUGCGAGGCCGCAAGGCGGAGCAAAUCGCAAAAAGCACGCCCCAGUUCGGAUUGCAGGCUGCAACUCGCCUGCAUGAAGCCGGAAUCGCUAGUAAUCGGAGAUCAGCUACGCUCCGGUGAAUACGUUCCUGAGCCUU